CCUUUAGUAGACGUUGAAUAUAGCAGACUAGUUGCAUUACUGUUAUGAAACUUUUAGAGGCUUGAAAACAGCUUUCAUUUAGUAACUGUGUGGGAGAUCGACACUGACUCCAGCAUCUCCACAGUUGUAAGAAGCUGUCCAGACUUUCAUCACCAGCAUUUUACUGUAAAAGGUCACAGCCGUGUCUCCGAGGUGGGGCCACAUACCAGGGACCCCGAAGGCCUGCUGGGCCCCGCUGACUCCUGGACGCUCUUAAGUCCAGGCGUGUGGCUCUGCAUCACCCCCCAUUCGUACAGAGCAGCUGUGCACAGACACACGGCCGGCCGCGGUGAUGUGGCUGCUAUAAAUACGUGUGUGUGUAGUGAAGGAGUGACAGCUGUGCGCUGGCCUCCUCCAUCAGCUCACGCUCCAUACGGGACAAGGACAUGUUACUAAACCCCCCUUCUUAUAAUCAACUUUUGAGUUUUUCAAAAAGAGUCAAAGUUUGCCAUGCAUAAUUUCACAAAUCAAUGAUGCUCCAUGUAGUUGCUGAUACAUGAAUGCAUUUUGUAGCUGGUCUGAGUGGUUGCUAGGGUUUUCUGAGCAGUUACUGAUAAAUAAAUGCAUUUUGUAGCUGUUCUGAGUGGUUGCUAGGGUGUUGCUAGGGUUUUCCGAGCAGUUACUGAUAUAUUAAUGCAUUUUGUAGCUGUUCUGAGUGGUUGCUAGGGUUUUCCUAGUGGCUGUUGACAAAAGAAUACAUUUUGUUGCUGUUCUGAGUGGUUGCUAGGGUGUUGCUAGGGCUUUCUGAGUGGCUUUGAUAAAAUAAUGCAUUUUGUAGCUGUUCUGAGUGGUUGCUAGGGUGUUGCUAGGGCUUUCCGAGCAGUUGCUGAUAAAUUAAUGCAUUUUGUAGCUGUUCUGAGUGGUGCUAGGGUGUUGCUAGGGCUUUCCGAGCAGUUACUGAUAUAUUAAUGCAUUUUGUAGCUGUUCUGAGUGGUUGCUAGGUGGUUGCUAGGGUGUUGCUAGGGCUUUCUGAGUGGCUUUGAUAAAAUAAUGCAUUUUGUAGCUGUUCUGAGUGGUUGCUAGGGGGUUACU
Molecule: long non-coding RNA, 1071 nt
Organism: Carassius carassius (crucian carp)
Lineage: Eukaryota; Metazoa; Chordata; Actinopteri; Cypriniformes; Cyprinidae
Exons: 3
Source: RefSeq, a predicted model, not a curated record